This 253-nucleotide ribosomal RNA is filed under the name uncultured prokaryote. Its description in RNAcentral is "partial 16S ribosomal RNA". It matches the Rfam family "Bacterial small subunit ribosomal RNA", at positions 524 to 776 of the family's 1533-position model. The record is from RNAcentral.
UACAGAGAGUGCGAGCGUUAAUCGGAAUUACUGGGCGUAAAGCGCGCGUAGGUGGAUGUUUAAGUCGGAUGUGAAAGCCCUGGGCUUAACCUAGGAAUUGCAUCCGAUACUACUCAUCUUGAGUAUGGUAGAGGGAAGUGGAAUUUCCGGUGUAGCGGUGAAAUGCGUAGAUAUCGGAAGGAACACCAGUGGCGAAGGCGGCUUCCUGGACCAAUACUGACACUGAGGCGCGAAAGCGUGGGGAGCAAACAGG